Molecule: long non-coding RNA, 591 nt
Organism: Lutra lutra (Eurasian river otter)
Lineage: Eukaryota; Metazoa; Chordata; Mammalia; Carnivora; Mustelidae
Exons: 3
Source: RefSeq, a predicted model, not a curated record
AAUGCACAACACAGAGGACCUCACCAGAGAUGCAACUUCCAACUGCCUAUCGUCCAUGGGAGAAGAAUUUGAAGGGCUUGCCAUGAUCCAUUCCUCUAGAGGGACCAAGGGUAAACCCGCAUUAGGAGUCCCGUUGGGGUGAUCCUGCGUUCUUGGCUCGCCGCUGGUUCCGGCGCAGGCGUACCAGCCAGUCGUCUGGGAUGCAGACUGCUUGAGACUUUAGAAGUUCGCUUCCUCUCACUAGGGAAUCAGAGAUCCUCAACUCUCAGACACCGUGGUGUCUGCCUCUUAUGCCUAGAACUGCAGCCACCACUUGGUAACCUUGAGGGAAGCUCGCUGAGGAGAAAACCAGAGACAGCUGAGGGGAAAAAAUAGAACUGCGUUCUUGCGGAAUGGAUGAGCCAAUGAACGACAUGGGAGCUACACUUUGUCAAGGUUUCUUGGAUUGCCCUUGAGGGGCACAGGGCCAGCUUUCUUGCCUAAAUAAUGACCGGAUAGAGAAAAAGUGCAUCCUAUAAAUACUGGCACUGCCUGCAGCUUAAGAAUAAUGCUUAAAUGAUAUAAAACCAAGCUGAAUAAAAAUGCAAAAUA